Long non-coding RNA from Oncorhynchus tshawytscha (Chinook salmon), 553 nucleotides. Lineage: Eukaryota; Metazoa; Chordata; Actinopteri; Salmoniformes; Salmonidae. The record is from Ensembl.
CAUUUUCCUAUUGAACAUACUUCUUUCCGUGUUAAACAUGAUAGUUUAAUUACAUUUUAGGGUAUCUGAGGAUUAAAUAGAAACAUAUUUUGACUUGUUGAAACAAAGUUUAGGGGUACAUUUUUGUAUUCUUAUCUUUGCAUGUGGAACGAGUGGAUUACUCAAAUCAAUGGUGCCAACUAAACAGACUUUUUGGGGUACAAAGAAGGAUUUUAUCUAACAAAACGACACUACAUGGUAUUUCUGGGACCCUUUGGAUGACAAAUCAGAGGAACAUUUUCAAAAAGACUCCUGGACAUGGGAGGAGAUUCUGAACGGUAAGGGACCCUGGGCACAGGCUGGAGAAUAUCGCCGCCCCAAGGCUGAGCUGGAGGCAGCGUAAUCCGAGAGGCGGUGGUAUGAGGAGGCAGCCCCAAAAAUGACGUGGCGAAGUCAGGUAGGAGACCUGCGCCAACUCCCCGUGCUUACCGUGGAGAGAGGCACCGUGUUAUGCCGUGAGGCGCACAGUCAUAGCCCGGUGCGGUACAUAGCAGAGCCUCGUAUCGGCCGGGCU